Malaya genurostris is the source of this 6657-nucleotide RNA transcript. RefSeq lists it as uncharacterized. The record is from RefSeq and is a predicted model, not a curated record. The transcript is spliced from 2 exons. Lineage: Eukaryota; Metazoa; Arthropoda; Insecta; Diptera; Culicidae.
ACCAUCGGAGAUCCCCUCUCGACACAACCUGUUAUGAUGAAUACUUCCGUUGAAGGCAAAUCUGAAAGGUCAAACGUAAAUGGUAGACAUGUGAAGUGCUCGCGCGAUUAUUUGUUGAUAAUAAAAAAAACGAAAUUAUUUAAAUAAAUUUGAAGAUAUUUAGGCGUAUAAGUAUCACAACUUUUCGAUUGCAAGUAAGGUUAUUAAAGUGAACAAGAAUAAAUGAAUUUAUAUACAUAUAUUUACAGUAAAAUAAGUGCAGUUAUAAUUACGAUUGUUGGGAAUUCGCGGUAAAGUGAGGUUAGCUUAAAUGUAAGUUUUCAUUUCAUUGAAUUAUACACAAAAAUAUUAAUAAAACUCAUUAGCUUUUAGCAAGAUUAUACACAUAUGAAUGCUGCGUGUUUGCUAAAAAGACUUUCUAUCACAACGAUCCCAACAAACUAAAAGAUUUAAGAUAAGGAUGCCGUCAAAGCAAAACCAGAAAACGCCUUCAGUCAGCUGCCCCGCAUGCAAUUCGCCGGACGAUGAUGAAAUGGUUCAGUGCGACUAUUGUCAUAGUUGGUGGCACUAUACGUGUGUGGGAGUCGGAGACAGCGUCAGCGAGAGAGAAUUCAAGUGUCCGAAGUGUGCACCUUCUCCUUCAGAAAACCCGCACCCUCAAGAAGACUCAAAAGGUAGUAAAAACAACUCGCCCGCGACAGAGUCGGCAGGGAAAUCUACGAAAGCAAAUACGCCGAGCGAAAGGAAUUUUGAUCAAGCUGGUAGCGUUAUCUCAUCCAGCACCAAAGCAAAGACUCGUUUGAAUCUUCAGAAACUCGAGGCACAAAAAGCUCUGAUGGACAGACAAUUGGAGCUAGAACGUCGAGAUCAAGAUCGCAAGUUAGAGCAGCAGAAAUUGCAAAAGGUGUCGGAGAUCGAGAAGAAACAGUUGCAAUUGGACCAGAAGUUUCUCGAUGAAAAAUUUCGUUUAAUAGAAGAAGAUUUGCUCGACGAGGAUGUAAGUAGUACAAGUGUACGUUCAUUGCAAGGCACCUUUAAUAAAGUUAUGCAAUGGCGAGGCCAUGUUAAUGCACUCAUGGACCAACCACCCGGGUUGACAACGCAACAGCACGUAGACCAGCUCAGCACAGCAAGUAGAGGUGUCCCGAAUCCAGACGCACAAGUGCCGUCGAUGACACUAUCCACAGCAGGUUUAGGUCAAACCAGUUCAGUACUGACUCAGGGAUGGGCACCGAAUGCCGACCUGUACAACACUGCCUGUGAAAGUGUUCCGAUUCCAGGGAUACACGGACAAUCGAUGUUACCCGCAGCGGGGCCGAGUACGGCAAAUUCCGUGCGGGCGCAUGAACGGGGACCAACAUCUCAACAGUUGGCAACGCGACAGGUAAUACCAAGAGAACUACCUAGUUUUACCGGGAAUCCCGAAGAAUGGCCCCUGUUUAUAAGCUCUUAUAAUACGUCUACUGAAAUCUGUGGUUAUACAGAAGCAGAAAAUUUAAUUAGGCUACAGCGUUGUUUAAGAGGCCCAGCGCUGGAAGCUGUUCGAAGCAGACUUAUGUUACCUGCAUCGGUACCGCACGUUAUAAAGACGCUACAAACGCUGUAUGGAAGACCAGAAUUACUCAUCCACAUGUUGCUUCAAAAGGUGCGCGAGGUUUCACCGCCGAGAUCCGACAAGUUAGAUACGUUAAUUGGAUUUGGGAUGACUGUACAGACUCUUUGCGACCACCUGCAGGCAGCAGGGCAGGAGACCCAUUUAAAUAAUCCCUCACUACUGUUUGAAUUGGUAGAAAAAUUGCCAGGAAACCUGAAGUUGGAUUGGGCGUUGCACAAACAACGUUAUGAUACAGUAAAUUUGCAAACUUUCGCCCAAUACAUGGCGAUACUUACGUCAGCGGCUUCCCAAGUGACUCUUCCUGUCGACCGCAAGCUACAGCGAGGAGGCAAAACAGAAAAAGGAAAGCAAAGUUUUUGUGGAGCACAUUCGUCGGAAGAUGCUUCCAAUAUCAUGGUCGAAGAACGAUCCGAUCGAGAACGAAUCCGCACUCCGGAAUGUUAUGUAUGCAAGAAACCCGAUCACAGAGUGAAAAAUUGUCCCGUAUUUGCCAAGAUGACUGUAGACCACCGCUGGAAAGCUGUUAGUGAAUACAGUCUCUGUCGUACCUGUUUGGGGGCCCAUGGUAGGCGACCAUGUAAAACAAUGAAAUUGUGUGGUGUCGGUGAUUGUCAGCUGAAACAUAAUCCACUUUUACACUCUAGUUCGCGGAAGCAUGAAAGUAGCUCGAAAGCCACACCUUCGGAAGCGCUAACAAACUAUCACCACUCCACUAGCACGACGUUGUUCCGAAUCGUUCCUGUUACAUUACACGGAAACAAUCGUACGGUAAAGACAUUUGCUUUUUUGGAUGAUGGAUCAUCGAUGACUUUAAUAGAAGAAACAAUCGCAAACCAGCUUGCAUUAGAAGGAGCACAGGCUCCGCUGUGCCUGCAGUGGACAGCGAACGUGACCAGAUCCGAGAAGCAUUCUAAACGCGUCUCGUUGGAAAUCACCGGUAGUUAUAACGAACAAGUAUAUCCACUCUCGAACGUGCGAACUGUAAAAAAUUUAAACCUACCUCGCCAAUCAAUGCAGUAUUCCAAACUAUCUAAGCAAUAUGCCUACCUAAAAGGAUUACCUAUCGAAGAUUAUGAUGACGCGGUACCCCAGAUACUAAUCGGAAAUGAUAAUUCUCACUUGGGUGCCGUACUAAAAAUUAGGGAAGGUAUGACAUUCGAACCAAUCGCUGCUAAAACCCGAUUGGGAUGGACCAUUUACGGUGCCGGUAAAGACGAAGAAAGUCACCAUUCACAUAGUUAUCAUAUCUGUCAGUGUAAUCGGCAACUUCAUGAUCUGGUGAGAGAUAAUUUCUUGGUUGAUAAUAUAGGGGUAGCAAUUGCCGUGCCGCCAGAUUCUGACGAAAGCCGCCGAGCGAAUCGUAUUCUUCGUGAUACUACUAAGCGUAUUGGAAACAAUUUCGAAGUCGGCCUUUUAUGGAAGUUCGAUGCGUUUGAGCUGCCGGACAGCUACGCAAUGGCUAUUCGCCGAAUGGUCUGUUUGGAACGACGAAUGGAAAAUGAUUCAAGAAUAGGUGCAAGUGUAAAGCGUCAGAUCCGUGAAUAUAUAGAGAAAGGAUACAUCAGUAAAGCCACCGCUGAACAACUGAGAGCGGCAGAUCCCCGGAGAAUUUGGUACCUGCCACUGGGAGUGACGAUAAACCCGAAAAAACCGGAAAAAGUGCGGAUCUUUUGUGACGCCGCAGCGGAAGUAGAUUCCGUAUCGCUAAACACAAUGCUGCUGAAGGGACCCGAUCUGCUCAGCUCAUUACCGACUGUGUUGUUUGGAUUUCGUGAACGAAGGGUGGCCAUCUGUGCUGACAUCCAAGAGAUGUUCCACCAGAUAUUCAUUCGGAAAGAAGACCGUCAAUCCCAAAGGUUGCUUUGGCGAGAUGCUGCUGAUCGAGUUCCGGACGUGUAUCUUAUGAACGUGGCGACAUUCGGUGCUUCAUGCUCACCAUGCCUAGCGCACUACGUUAAGGACCUUAACGCAGCUGAGUUCGCCGGGGCAUACCCAGAAGCGGUGGUAGCGAUUACUAAGAAGCACUAUGUAGAUGACUACCUCGAUAGUUUCGACGAUGAGGAUAAAGCGGUUCACAUGGCUUUGGAUGUUAAAUAUAUACAUUCACGCGCGGGAUUUCAUUUAAGAAAUUGGAUCUCCAACUCUUCGAAUGUUUUACGCCGCAUUGGGGAGAAAAAGGUGACCGCAGGAAAACGUUUAGAUUUACACGACAAAUGUAUCACCGAACGAGUUCUGGGAAUGCUGUGGGACCCCAAGCAAGACGUUUUUACCUUUUCUACAACAAUGGCCACGAAUACUCAGCAUCCUACCAAACGACAAGUGUUACGAACAGUUAUGUCUCUGUUCGAUCCCUUGGGUCUUCUAUCGCAUUUUAUAAUUCACGGUAAAAUCCUUAUUCAGGACCUCUGGCGUGUACAAAUUGGAUGGGACGACUUAAUUCCAUGUCGACAGCACUCUAGGUGGCUGAGAUGGACAAGCGAGUUCGAGAAAUUGUCAUGUGUACGGGUAAAUCGAUGUUACUUUCCCACGGUUCCGGAGCGGAAGAUAAAGCAGCUUCAACUGCAUAUGUUCGUGGAUGCCAGCGAGGAGGCAUAUGCAUGCGUAGCGUACUUGCGAGCCGAGGUAUACGAUGGAGUCCAAGUAGCGCUAGUUGCAGCUAAAUCAAAGGUUGCGCCCUUGAAAACGCUUUCUAUUCCUAAGCUUGAGCUUCAAGCCGCUGUGCUUGGCACCCGUCUACAAAAAACUAUUCGCAGUACCCAUAGUUUACCAAUUACCGAGAGUAUUUACUGGAGCGAUUCGCAAACCGUAUUAGCUUGGAUAAAUCCAAACCACCGUAAAUUUAGACAAUUUGUUUCCUGUAGAGUAGGAGAAAUUCUCACCUUAACUAAUCCUGAAGACUGGCGAUGGGUUCCAUCUAAGGAUAAUGUGGCGGACGAUGCAACCAAAUGGGGCAAAGGCUCACAUCUAUCUCCUGACAGUCGCUGGUUCUGGGGCCCAAGUUUUUUGUACCUUUCUGAAGAUCAGUGGCCAACCAAUCAACGGACUUUUACCGAAACAACGGAGGAACUUCAAUCUUGUUUUACACAUGCAGAAGUCAAAUGUGAAAAUCUAGUUCUAUGGGAGCGUUUUUCAAAGUGGAACCGAUUGUUAAACACAGUAGCUUAUGUAAAUCGAGCCGUUCGAAACAUGCAACGGAAAUCAAAAGGAUCACCAUUGCUAUUAGAUUGUCUGACUCAGGAAGAACGGUCAAAGGCUGAAACAAUUAUUUGGCGACUUGUACAGGAAGAAGUGUACUCUGCAGAAUUAUCAACUUUAGCGACACCGAUUCCGAAAUCGUCUACGAAGCGAUAUAAAAAUACAAAGCUCCUGGGUUUGUCGGCCUUCAAAGAUCCAGAUGGAAUAGUCCGGAUGGAGAGCCGUAUCGCGGGCGCUGUUUUCGUUUCUUUUGAUACAAGAAAUCCGAUUAUAAUUCCCAAAAAUCAUCACGCUACUAGACUCCUAGUCGAGUGGUACCAUUAUCGCUACCUACACGCCAACAAUGAGACGGUAAUUAAUGAAAUCAAACAGCGCUUUCAUAUUUCUCAUCUUCGUUCUCUGGUGCGACAAAUUUCAAAAUCAUGUUUCGUUUGCCGAGUCAGAAAGACGCAGCCAACAGUACCCCGUAUGGCACCAUUGCCAGCUGCUAGAAUGAAGGCUUUCGUCAGACCGUUUUCCUAUAUAGGUCUGGAUUAUUUUGGUCCGCUCCCAGUACGUAUUGGAAGAAGUGUGGUGAAGAGAUGGGUCGCAUUGUUUACGUGCCUUACCAUACGAGCCGUGCACCUGGAGGUGGUACACUCUCUGUCGUCGGAAUCCUGCAAAAUGGCGAUUAGACGAUUUAUAGCCAGACGAGGAUCGCCGGUUGAGAUUUAUAGCGACAACGGCACGAAUUUCGUCGGCGCCAGCAAUGAUCUACGGUGGGAGCUUGGAAAAAUUGAUCGUGAUAUGGCAGCAGUUUUUACCAACACUAAUACGCAGUGGAAAUUUAAUCCGCCCUCUGCUCCCCACAUGGGUGGCUCAUGGGAGCGACUCGUGAGAUCGGUGAAAACGGCUCUAGAUUCAAUGUAUACCUGUCGAAAUCCAGAUGAAGAGACAUUUGCUACUAUACUACUGGAAGCGGAAAGUAUAGUGAACUCUCGUCCGCUUACGUUCGUUUCCAUGGAGUCUUCAGAACAAGAAGCAAUUACCCCCAAUCAUUUUCUGAUGAUGAGUUCGAGUGGAGUCACACAACCAUCGAGAUCGUUGGAGGAAUCGCAAAAGAGUCUUCGUGGAAAUUGGAAUCUUAUUCGUGUUAUGGUAGAUCAGUUUUGGAAGAGAUGGGUACGUGAGUACCUUCCAACUCUUACCCGCCGUACCAAGUGGUUCACAGACGUCGCACCGUUGAAAGUAGGCGAUCUGGUUAUGGUAGUAGAAGAUAAUCGGCGCAAUGGCUGGAUAAGAGGACGAAUUUUGGAACUGGUCACUGGGCAAGAUGGCAGAUCACGGCGAGCGGUUGUACAGACUUCAACCGGUGUGUUGCGUAGACCAAUAGCAAAACUGGCGAAACUGGACUUGGAAGUAAAGCCGGUAAAACUGGGUCAGGAUCUCUAGACCAGUGUUACGCCCCGGGGAAUGUUGCGAAGUAAUACAACCAUCGGAGAUCCCCUCUCGACACAACCUGUUAUGAUGAAUACUUCCGUUGAAGGCAAAUCUGAAAGGUCAAACGUAAAUGGUAGACAUGUGAAGUGCUCGCGCGAUUAUUUGUUGAUAAUAAAAAAAACGAAAUUAUUUAAAUAAAUUUGAAGAUAUUUAGGCGUAUAAGUAUCACAACUUUUCGAUUGCAAUAAAAUAAGUGCAGUUAUAAUUACGAUUGUUGGGAAUUCGCGGUAAAGUGAGGUUAGCUUAAAUGUAAGUUUUCAUUUCAUUGAAUUAUACACAAAAAUAUUAAUAAAACUCAUUAGCUUUUAGCAAGAUUAUACACAUAUGAAUGCUGCGUGUUUGCUAAAAAGACUUUCUAUCACAACGAU